This is a small nucleolar RNA of Carya illinoinensis, 71 nucleotides long. RefSeq annotates it as small nucleolar RNA R66. The transcript has a single exon. Lineage: Eukaryota; Viridiplantae; Streptophyta; Magnoliopsida; Fagales; Juglandaceae. The record is from RefSeq and is a predicted model, not a curated record.
GGUGAUGCCAUGUAAUCUUUGAGAGCUGAUUGUCCAAUCUGAUGACAAAAAUAAGCAUAUUUUCUGAGGAC